Molecule: ribosomal RNA, 469 nt
Filed under: uncultured Thiomonas sp.
Lineage: Bacteria; Pseudomonadati; Pseudomonadota; Betaproteobacteria; Burkholderiales
Description: bacterial SSU rRNA
Rfam family: Bacterial small subunit ribosomal RNA
Source: RNAcentral
CAUGCAAGUCGAACGGCAGCGCGGGGUAACCUGGCGGCGAGUGGCGAACGGGUGAGUAAUACAUCGGAACGUGCCCUGUGAUGGGGGAUAACUACGCGAAAGCGUAGCUAAUACCGCAUACGACCUACGGGUGAAAGUGGGGGAUCGCAAGACCUCACGUCAUAGGAGCGGCCGAUGGCGGAUUAGCUAGUUGGUGAGGUAAAGGCUUACCAAGGCAACGAUCCGUAGCUGGUCUGAGAGGACGACCAGCCACACUGGGACUGAGACACGGCCCAGACUCCUACGGGAGGCAGCAGUGGGGAAUCUUGGACAAUGGGGGCAACCCUGAUCCAGCAAUGCCGCGUGUGGGAUGAAGGCCUUCGGGUUGUAAACCACUUUUGGCGGGGGCGAAAUAUCGAGUGCUAAUACCAUUCGGUGAUGACGGUACCCGCAGAAUAAGCACCGGCUAACUACGUGCCAGCAGCAGGGG